Molecule: ribosomal RNA, 486 nt
Filed under: uncultured bacterium
Lineage: Bacteria
Description: partial 16S ribosomal RNA
Rfam family: Bacterial small subunit ribosomal RNA
Source: RNAcentral
AUUGAACGCUGGCGGCAUGCCUUACACAUGCAAGUCGAACGGCAGCACGGGUGCUUGCACCUGGUGGGGAGUGGCGGACGGGGGCGUAAUACAUCGGCACCGGUCCUGUAGUUGGGGAUGGGGCGGCGGAAGCCGGAUUAAUACUGCAAACGAACUCCAGCUGAAGGUGAGGGAACUGCAGCUCUGGCGCUUGCGCGUUGGACGAUGUCUGAUUAGGUAGUUGGUGGGGUAAAGGCCUACCAAGGCGACGAUCCGUAGCUGGUCUGAGAGGAUGAGCAGCCACACUGGAACUGAGACACGGUCCAGACUCCUACGGGAGGCAGCAGUGGGGAAUUUUGGACAAUGGGCGAAAGCCUGAUCCAGCAAUGCCGCGUGGGUGAAGAAGGCCUUCGGGUUGUAAAGCACUUUUGUCCGGAAAGAAAUCCUGGGCGCUAAUACAGUCGGGGGAUGACGGUACCGGAAGAAUAAGCACCGGCUAACUACGUG